RNAcentral lists this long non-coding RNA (688 nucleotides) under Pan troglodytes (chimpanzee). RNAcentral describes it as "long non-coding RNA NONPTRT002323". Lineage: Eukaryota; Metazoa; Chordata; Mammalia; Primates; Hominidae. The record is from RNAcentral.
UACCUCUAUUGCUUACUUGGACAGUUCUUAUGGCUGGCUGUGAGAGGCCCAAUUCUAAGAUGUAUCCCAAGAUUUGUACCCUACAGUGUACACAUCCUGUGUACAUUUCUCCCCUUAAAAGAAAACACGACUGUGAAUAUAAUAGAGCAUCACUCCUGUAAUUAGGUUAGCUUAUAUGACAAGGAUGUAAUUAAAGUCCCUAAUCAAUUAACUUUAAGGCAGUCAAAAAGAGGUGAUUUAUCCUGGUGGGCUUCAUCUUAUCACUCUAGCCCUUUAAAUCAGGGCUAGAGGUCAGAAACAGAAUCUAAGAGAUUUGAAGCCACAGCACAGCUGUCCUGUUCACCUUGAAGGAGCAAACUGCCAUAUGGCAGGAAAUGGCAGGUGGACUCUAGGAGCUGAGAAAGGCUCCUGGGUGACAGCCAACAAGAAAGUGGGCACCUUAAUCCUACGAAUGCAAGUAACUGAAUUCUGGCAACAACCACUGAACUUGGGAAAGGACACACACGGAGCCUCAGAUGAGAUCGCUAACCCAGCCAACACCUUGAUUUCAGCCUGAUAAGACCCUGAGCUGAGGACUCAGCCAACCAGUACCUGGACUUACGGAAUAUGUGACUGAGACAUGCAGAUGGAAACACGGACUGAAACUAAGGAGCCAAUUCAGGGCCGAAUUGUGUGUUGCACUGGCGUC